Molecule: long non-coding RNA, 323 nt
Filed under: Prunus persica (peach)
Lineage: Eukaryota; Viridiplantae; Streptophyta; Magnoliopsida; Rosales; Rosaceae
Description: long non-coding RNA (PPER_LNC004837)
Source: RNAcentral
GAAUUGUGUCGCAGACGAAUUAGCUAACUGGAGCUAUAACAUGGGUCUUGGCGUGUGUUAUUUUGAUUUUGCUCCAAGUUGGAUAGGUUCUUUAAUUAUUGACGACUUGAUUGGGGUGUCUCGUUCCCGUCUUAUUUGUGUUGAUUUGUUGUAGUUCUGGUGCUUGAGAUUUUCUCCCCCAAGUUGGACCCAAAAAAAAAAAAAAAAAUUUAUCUAAAGAUUUACCAAAUGAAUUGUUGAUAUUCAUUUGGAAGAAUUAGCAAAAACUGAAAAUGAAUUGAAAUUUUUUGAUACAAAAAUGAGAGAAUUUUUUAAUGAGUGCU